UACGAAGGGUGCUAGCGUUGUUCGGAAUCACUGGGCGUAAAGCGCACGUAGGCGGCUGUGUCAGUCAGGGGUGAAAUCCCGGAGCUCAACUUCGGAACUGCCUUUGAUACAGCACGUCUUGAGUCCGGAAGAGGUGGGUGGAAUUCCUAGUGUAGAGGUGAAAUUCGUAGAUAUUAGGAAGAACACCGGUGGCGAAGGCGGCCCACUGGUCCGGUACUGACGCUGAGGUGCGAAAGCGUGGGGAGCAAACAGG
Molecule: ribosomal RNA, 253 nt
Filed under: uncultured bacterium
Lineage: Bacteria
Description: partial 16S ribosomal RNA
Rfam family: Bacterial small subunit ribosomal RNA
Source: RNAcentral